RNAcentral lists this ribosomal RNA (269 nucleotides) under Cladocora caespitosa. RNAcentral's name for it is "partial 16S ribosomal RNA". It matches the Rfam family "Bacterial large subunit ribosomal RNA", at positions 2003 to 2454 of the family's 2925-position model. Lineage: Eukaryota; Metazoa; Cnidaria; Anthozoa; Scleractinia; Cladocoridae. The record is from RNAcentral.
CACGAAAGUUCCUCUGUCUUAAAAAAAUACUUAAUGAAAUUGAAUUUGUAGUGAAGAUGCUACAUUAAAAUUGUAAGACGAGAAGUCCCCAUGGAGCUUUACUGAAAGCUUAAGAUUUUCUAUAAGCGGGACAGUUUUGUUGGGGCGACAGUUUUUUAAAAAGUAACGAAGACGAACUAUGGCGGAGCUUCACCCUGAAAAAUUUUUUAAGGGACAUCUUUGGUGUGUUUUACGAUCCGUUGUUUGGAAUGAAAAAAAUAACGAAAACA